UUUAAAGGGGGCUGUCUCUCAAAUGAUGCAUUUUCUAUUGGUAGUAAAGGAAAUAUGAAAUAGGUACCUCUGUGCACUGUGGAUUUAUGUAAAUGGCUUUUUACCAGGUAAUGUAGCUUAAAGCUCUGUCAAGUCUCUAACACUUGGAAUUUUUGGCAAAGAAAUGAAAGAACCUGUAAGUUAUCAUUAUUUUAUUUUAUUUUUUUCAAUACCUUCCAGGGUGGUCUUUUUGUUUGGUAAUUUUAAACUACAUUCUUGAAAAAGUUUCUCAAGAUUCAAGCAAUUCCUAGGACUGUACACUUGGGGAACAUUUCUUAAAAUACAUAACAAAUUCAAAUUAAUAAGAAAAAGACAACCCAGAAGAAAAAUGGACACGUGAAUUAAUCAGAAACUCAAGAGGCUCACUGUGGUUCCAGCUCCCAUAAAGGAAUCUCUCAGUUCCUGGCUCUGGCCACACUACUGUGGUAGAUGUGAGGUACUCAGGUCCUCUUUAAGGAAGGACUUGCUGCCCAGCGGCAGGUGGUGCAGCCAGCAUCCAGCUGUCAGCUCCUACAGGGUCAGCCUUACUUGCAGAGAACCACCUUGCUCGAGGUCAUGCCCUUCCUGAAGCAGCUGGCAUCCAGUGUUGACCACUCAUGAACACCUUGCACUCCAGUAUAUUUCUAAGUGCUUCUGAGAACCCAACCUGCAACACCACUUCUCCCCUCUGCCUCCAGCCUAGAGAUGGGAAUGGCUUCCUGCUGGUGCUAAUCUUUAGGUGGCCUCACCAUGUCCCAUUUGGACACUCUGCUCUUGCAUCAUCCAUGUAAUCAAUUAACUGCAUUAAAUCCCCAUCUCUUUAAAUAAAGUAGGUUCUGACACAGCCAACAUUAUACUGAAUGGCGAAAAGUUGAAAGCGUUCCCCCUGAGAACUGGAACAAGACAAGGAUGCUCCCUUUCACCACUUCUAUUCAACGUAGAACUGGAAGUCCUAGCCAGAGCAAUCAGACAAGAGAAGGCAAUAAAGGACAUCCAAAUAAGUAAAGAGGAAGUCAAACUGUCACUGUUUGCUGAUGAUAUGAUUGUAUACCUAGAAAACCCUAAGAACUUAUCCAAAAAGCUCCUAGAACUGGUAAAUGAAUUCAGUGAAGUUUCAGGAUACAGAAUUAAUGUACACAAGUCAGUAGCACUGCUAUACACCAACAGUAACCAAGCUGAGACUCAAAUCAAGAACUUAGCCUCUUUUACAAUAGCUGCAAAAAAUAAAAUAAAAUACUUAGGAAUAUACCUGUUACCAAGGAGGUGAAAGACCUCUACAAUGAAAACUAUAAAACACUGCUGAAAGAAAUCAUAGAUGACACAAACAAAUGGGAACACAUCCCAUGCUCAUGGAUGGGUAGAAUCAAUAUUGUGAAAAUGACCACACUGCCAAAAGCAAUCUACAAAUUCAGUGCAAUUCCUAUCACGGUAUCACCAACAUUCUUCACAAAGCUGGAAAAAGCAAUCCUAAAAUUCAUAUGGAACAAAAAAAGAGCCCACAUAGCCAAAGCAAUACUAAGCAAAAAGAACAAAUCUGGAGGCAGCACAUUACCUGACUUCAAACUAUACUAUAAGGCCAUAGUCACCAAAACAGCAUGGUACUGGUAUAAAAUAGGUACAUAAACCAAUGGAACAGAAUAGAGAACCCAGAAAUAAAGCCGGAUACUUAUAGCUAACGAGUCUUCAACAAAGCAAACAAAAUAAAGUGGGGAAAGGACACCCCAUUCAACAAAUGGUGCUGGGAUAAUUGUCAAGCCACAUGUAGAAAAAAUGAAACUGGAUCCUCAUCUCUCAUUUUAUACAAAAAUCAACUCAAGAUGGAUCAAAGACUUAAGUCUAAGACCUGAAACCAUAAAAAUUCUAGAAGAUAACAUUGGAAAAACCCUUCUAGACAUUGGUAUACGCAAAGACUUCACAACCAAGAACCCAAAAGAAAAUGCAACAAAAACAAAGAUAGAUAGGUAGGAUUUAAUUAAACUAAAUUACUUCUACACAGCAAAAGAAAUUAUCAGUAUAGACCACCCACAGAGUAGGAGAAAAUCUUUGCAAUCUAUACAUCUGACAAAGGAUUAAUAUCCAGAAUCUACAAGGAACUCAGAUCAGCAAGAAAAAAAACAAAGAAUCCCAUCAAAACAUGGGCUAAGGACAUGAAUAAACAAUUCUCAAAAGAUGUACAAAGGGCCAACAAACAUAUGAAAAAAUGUUCAACAUCACUAAUUAUCAGGGAAAUGCAGAUCAAAACCACAAUGAGAUGCUACCUCACUCCUACAAGAAUGGCCAUAAUCAAAAGAUCAAAAAUAAUAGAUGUUGGCAUGGAUGUGAAGAAAAGGGAACACUUUUACACUGCUGGUGGGAAUGUAAACUAGUACAACCACUAUGGAAAACAGUGUGGAGAUUCCUUAAAGAACGAUAAAUAGAUGAACCGUUUGAUCCAGUGAUCCCACUACUAGGUAUCCACCCAGAGGAAAAGAAGUUACUAUACGAAAAAGAUACUUGCACAUGGAUGUUUAUAGCAGCACAAUUCUCAAUUGCAAAAAUAUGGAACCAGCCCACAUGCCCAUCAGUCAAUGAGUGGAUAAAGAAAAUGUGAGGGAUAAAAGACUACACAUUGGGUACAGUGUAUACUGCUUGUGUGAAGGGUGCACCAAAAUCCCAGAAGUCACCACUGAAGGACUUAUUCAUGUAACCAAACACCACCUGCUCCCCAAAAAUCUAUUGAAAUGGAAAAUAAAUAAAUAAAGUAGGUU
This is a long non-coding RNA of Pongo pygmaeus (Bornean orangutan), 2765 nucleotides long. RefSeq lists it as uncharacterized. The record is from RefSeq and is a predicted model, not a curated record. The transcript is spliced from 3 exons. NCBI's taxonomy places the organism in Eukaryota, Metazoa, Chordata, Mammalia, Primates, Hominidae.